AUAAUAGCCCACCAGCUUAGAGCAUCCAUCUGCCUAAACAGAAGAAGCCUCUCCAUGACAGUUACUCUCUAGGCACAAGCUUGCAGGCAGCAAAAUCAAAUGUGUUCUCCCAAAGAAUUUAAUAUCCAGUAAACCCCAGGAGUCAGCAAGUUUAUACCAUCUAUAAAGUCUCAGUGGGAGUGAGGACAGAGCUGUAGACAGGUCAAACGUUUGACAAUAUGUGGAAAAGGACGAAGAACACAGGUCCCACUACCAACAGACGAUGUUUCUCCCUCGUUCAUCAAUACAUUCAGCGUUUUAAUGAGGUGUCUGGCAACAAGUCAGCUGUGAUCCGGAGAAGAUCUAAGACUGCUGGAGUAAUGAUCACGCAGUAUUUAGUAGACAUACCAGAGGGAAAAAGCACCCCAGAUGUCGAGAGUAAACCCAUCCCAGUUACUAUCAAGGAAGGAAAAUCAGCUGUUU
Molecule: long non-coding RNA, 462 nt
Organism: Etheostoma spectabile (orangethroat darter)
Lineage: Eukaryota; Metazoa; Chordata; Actinopteri; Perciformes; Percidae
Exons: 5
Source: RefSeq, a predicted model, not a curated record